GGUGGCUCAGUGGUAGAGCGCUUGCCUUGCAAGCCUCCUGAGACCCUGGGUUCGAUUCCCAAGCACCA
RNAcentral lists this transfer RNA (68 nucleotides) under Dipodomys ordii (Ord's kangaroo rat). It matches the Rfam family "tRNA". Rfam says of the family: Transfer RNA (tRNA) molecules are approximately 80 nucleotides in length. Their secondary structure includes four short double-helical elements and three loops (D, anti-codon, and T loops). Further hydrogen bonds mediate the characteristic L-shaped molecular structure. tRNAs have two regions of fundamental functional importance: the anti-codon, which is responsible for specific mRNA codon recognition, and the 3' end, to which the tRNAs corresponding amino acid is attached (by aminoacyl-tRNA synthetases). tRNAs cope with the degeneracy of the genetic code in two manners: having more than one tRNA (with a specific anti-codon) for a particular amino acid; and 'wobble' base-pairing, i.e. permitting non-standard base-pairing at the 3rd anti-codon position. The record is from Rfam by way of RNAcentral. Lineage: Eukaryota; Metazoa; Chordata; Mammalia; Rodentia; Heteromyidae.